Molecule: non-coding RNA, 611 nt
Organism: Zonotrichia albicollis (white-throated sparrow)
Lineage: Eukaryota; Metazoa; Chordata; Aves; Passeriformes; Passerellidae
Source: RefSeq, a predicted model, not a curated record
GAAAGCAGUAUGCAGAGGUAAAACUGUAUUUACCAGAGAAAAAAAAUCCUUGAGGCAGAAGGAGCAUGUUUUUUGCUACAGUAACUGAAGCCUGUGCUCUUAGCCUUUGAACAUAUGUGCAUCCUUAUUUUCAUAUAACCAAAUAAAAAAAUGCUGCAUGUAAGUGAAGAAAUAUUAUUUUGCUGUGACACUGACUGCUUAUUGCUCUGAAAAUCAAUCAUGUGAAAAGGAUGUAGGAAUUUUCAUGAGGCACUAUGUAACCUUGCACCAGACCUUACAAACUUGCUGUCACCGUGAUCACAACUAGAGCUCUUUUUUCUUGGCUUCUCUUUGGAGAUGCAGAAAACAGAUGAUGCUCAUCUAAUUAAGUAGGUUAACAAAGUUCCUCAGCUUUAAGAUAAUUUUUUUUUCUUAUGACAAAAUGGAACUAUAGCCUGUAAGUGUAAAGAGGAAGAAAGUCAUUCACCCUGUAAUAUUUUGGCAUUUGCUUUUCCAUGGGAGCAUCUACAUAUUUUUGAACUUAAUGACAUAACCUGCUGGACAGAGAAUUUACAAGACAUCUGGAGAAGUUAUGACCUCUUCAUGACGUAAUGAGCUCUAUCCCUACUUUG